Molecule: ribosomal RNA, 498 nt
Filed under: Bactericera cockerelli (potato/tomato psyllid)
Lineage: Eukaryota; Metazoa; Arthropoda; Insecta; Hemiptera; Triozidae
Description: partial small subunit ribosomal RNA
Source: RNAcentral
GUUGCGGUUAAACAAAUUAUUAAAAGGAAUUUUAGAAUUAAUGUGAACUUUUACGAUAAAUAGAUAAAAAUGAUUAAUUGAAAGGUAAAAUUUACAAUUUUUUUAAUGUCUAAUUUUAAUUGUUCAGAAAUUUAGCGCUAAACCAGGAUUAGAUACCCUGUUAUAAUAAUGUAAACUUUAUGGAGUAGUAAAAGUUAAGAGCUUAAAACUCAAAAGAUUUGGCGGUAUUUUAUCUUAUCAGAGGAACCUGUUUAUUAAUUGAUAAUCCACAAUUAAAAUUUACUUUUAUUUAUAUUACUUGUAUACCGCUGUCAUGAAUAUACUAAAAAGUUUAUAUUUUCUUCCACCCCAUUUUCCCGCUGCUGGUUUAUGUUAGGUCAAGGUGCAGUUUUUAAAAGAAGCUAAUGGGUUACAAUACAAAUUAUGAAUGGAAUUAAGUAAAUUUAACUUUAAGAAAAAGGAUUUGAAAGUAAAAUGAUUUAUAAAAAUUAAAUGAAU